This is a long non-coding RNA of Daphnia pulex (common water flea), 4586 nucleotides long. RefSeq lists it as uncharacterized. The transcript is spliced from 18 exons. Lineage: Eukaryota; Metazoa; Arthropoda; Branchiopoda; Diplostraca; Daphniidae. The record is from RefSeq and is a predicted model, not a curated record.
CGUGUCGCUCGUUUUUCAUGUGAUGGCGGAUUGUUGUCUUGUUGAGUGGUUGUCACAAGUUUUCCUAUUUUUCCAUGAAAAUUACCGAUGAAUUCAUAAGCGUGGUCCUCUCUGAUGUGGUUGUGAAUGGAUCGGGUUAUUUUCCAGUUUAUUUCAAUUUCUUCCUUGCGAAGACUCUACCCGUCAUCUAUUGAAAAAUAACGAAUCUGCACAUAAAUAACGAUGGCGCAUUGCCAACAAGUUUCAGCCAUUGAAAUCGUUGCAGACAGCAUGUUGCACGUCAUUUUGUUCUGGACUGGAGUCUGGAGGAAGUGAGUUUUCACUGAACACCGUGGAAUUCUCUAAAUUUAUUGAUCAUUGAUCAUUUGCCGACAAGCAACAAGGCAACAUGUGAUUAUUCUGAUCUUGCCAUGAACGGAAGAGAACACUUGGUGCAAGAUCAUAAUUUGAUGGUUAACUUAUGAAGAGAAGGUGAGGAGAAAAUAAUGAUCUUAUUCCUCCAACAACUAUGGCAGAUUUGUUCCCGGUUUACCCUCGCCGCUGUUCGAUAGACUUUAUCAAUUGGUGGGAAAUGACGAGUGGUUGGCCGCGCUGAAUUUCAAGAUCUAUAAAUUUUAUAUAAGUUUAUAAAUUACAAGUGCAUAUCUGGGCUCCCUUCUUCAGUGGCCCCGUUUCCCUAAAUAACCACUAACCAACGCCCGCCGGUGGUCACUCACUCGCUGCGACAACCAGGAGGAAGGGAGAUGUUUGGUCAAACAGGGACUUGCAAGGCGCAUGAUUCGAUGAAAUCUGUUGGAGGGUCAUGAGUCUAAGCCGGAAGCCUACUAUGAUGCAUUGCUCUCUUAAAAACUGUUCCUCGGCCCUCUUCGCUCUUUUUCCGGUUUCUCUUAACCAUGGGCGGGCAAUCUCCCUGGUCGAGUCAGUCGGGCAGUGUCUCCCCCUGCUUGACUGGCAGCAGUUUGAACCGGACGGUCUGUUAAAAUAAGAAUUUAAAUCUAGAACAACGCCUCCUUUGAGCGGCCCGGACAAUCCUGAAACCUUUAGGGUUGCCAUUCAAUCGAGGCUUAAACGAGAAUGACGCGGAGGUGUUGUCCAUUGAAGGGUUUUGGUGACAAGGAGUCAAUGAACGAAACGCUAAACCAAAUGAAAAAAAGAAAAUAUUAAAAAAGCCAACGAUCCUUUACAUAUCCGAGCCGAAUCCUUUCCGUCUACAUUCCGUGUGAAGAGCAAAACCCAAAUUUCAUCACAUUUUACUGCUUAGCAACGAAAACAAAGCGAGUGUCAAAACAUUGUUUUACUUGCGCAGACUUUACUGUGGCAGAAACGCGUUGGUUAUGUAACAGGUUGAAAUUUUUUUUCCCUUUUGUUCAUGCAGCAUCAAACGACACGCGAUAGGUUCUGGCGGUAAUCAACUAUUCAAGAUGGUAGACCUGUCAAUGUAAAAGACAGGAUUUUCUUCUCCGACCGCAGGUGCAAGGAUUAUGUGUUUGAAACUUAGAAAAGUUUGCAGUAGAAUAUUUAAAAAAACCGACUGUCCUUCAAACGGUUCGAAAUGGAAGAUUUAUUCAUUCACCGAAGAAACGAGUCAAAUGACUCAAAUGUCAAAUGUGGUAUUUUUAAAGUGACUAAAAUUUAAGCCAUUAUCAUUUAUGAUUUGAUAUUUAUUUUGAUAUUGGUUUUUGUAGACCCAUCCCCAGCAACGUCAACCUGCAGAAAGAAAAAAGGCCGGUUUCUAUGACCUUGACGCUCGAAGGUCACGGAGAUCAUUACGUAAAACGUGUCAUGCAGUGGUAGAGGUUGGGUGAGAAACGAGAAUGACACGUGUUGCUUCAUUAUCAAAAAGACCCAUCCCCGGCAAAGUCACCUGCAGAAAAAAAGGCCAGUUUGCAUUUCAAUCGAAGGUCAUGGAUAUCAUUACGUAAAAGGUGUCAGGCAUUGGUGUAGAGGUUGGGUGAGAACGGGACGUUUUGCUUCAUUAUCAAAAAGUUGACAGGGAUCAGUCGAGUGAGCAUCUCCGACACGGUAACAACUCCAUAUUUCGUCGUAAUAUCAGUUCGCAAUCAUGGUUAAUUAUGGCAUUGUGUUGCUGUUGGGUGUUGUAUCGUUGAUGUCGACCACGAGAGAAAAUCUUUCAAAAGGAAAGAGAAAAGGCAACAGAAGUCCAUCGAGUGAGCAUCUCCGACCCGGCAACAACUGCAUUCUUCGUCGUAUUACCAGGUCGCAAUCACGGUUAACUAUGCCGUCAUGCUGCUAUUGGUUGUUGUAUCGUCGAUGUCUGGGUCGACCACUGGUGUACCGACGUCUCCUGGAUAAGGCGGAUACCAAACCGCAACGCCACCACCUUAUUACUCAACAACAUACGCAACGACCAGAUACUACACCGAGGUUGCACUGUUGGGUUUACAGUUAAAUCACCAAGGAUCGAGAUUAUUACACCACAACUUGUGCUGCUCCUCGAGCUACACUACCAAAGCGCUAGAGUACUACACCGAGGCACCUACUGAGACUACGCAACUACGUAUGCUGCCCCAACCUACGACACCGAGGCUCCAGCUUAUUACAUUACCAAAGCUGUCGAAUUCUACAUUGGAUCGCCCAAGUACGACAGAAAUCACCAACACGGCAGCCCCGAAGUUUCGAAUAAACUUCGUUUCAAACAGUGUAACGGCAAAGAGUGAAGACAAAUUCGACUGCAAUCGCGUCGAAUUCAAUAGCAAAGAUAACACAUUCGUACGUGUACACCGCGCCGUUAAACUUGACAUUGUCGGUCGGCAAGCCGCACUUGACGAUGGCCGUACCAUCACCUACGACAAGUGCUUUAUUGUCACAGGUGUUAAACGAAAAUCUUUUCCAAUCCCUGAGCGGUGCCCUUAAAGAUGCCCACGAGCACGUAGCGCUGUUCCGCAACAUCGAUGGCGGUAACAUAGGUCGAGUUCUCCGUUCUCCCAAAUAUUUGAGCCAAUCGACAACCGAGAAGGGGAAAGUGGAAAGUGUUAAUGUGUUGCCCAAAGCCAAUGUUGAGGGUGCAAUUUUGGAAGAUUACAAGUUCGCAUUGACCUUAAACAAUGGUCAAAAGAUUUAAACUGACCAUGUCGUCGUUGCAUGUCGGUUGGGACGCAAACACGUCUGUUGCUUUUGGUUUGGAAAUAGAGGAGAUUUUGGUGGUUAUCGAGUCAAUACCGAGCUUGAAGCACGAUCGAAUGUUUGGUUGGUUGGAGAUGUUACGUUCUUUUGUGAUAUCAAAUUGGGUCGCUGUUGUGUGGAACAUUAUCACCAUGCUGUUGUAUUAGGGCGAUUGGCUGGAGAGAACAAUACUGGCAAAGUAUCAUGGAUGAAAAACUGCAGUGCACUGUUACCAAGUGCAUUCUUCGUCGUAUUAUCAGUACGCAAUCGGUUGAUUGUGAUGUCGUGAUGUUACCGUUUGCCGUAUCGUUGAAGGCUGGGUCGAUCACUGGUGUACCGAUGUCUCCUGGGUAUAGCGGAUACCUAAGCACCACGCCGCCGCCUUACUACACAACGACAACAUUCGCAAGAACCGGUUACUACACCGAGGCACACAAUUACUACACCACCAAGGCUCCAGAGUAUUACACCGCAGCUGAUGCUGCCCCGAGUUACAUCAUCAAACGUACUACACCGAGGCUCCAACUUAUUACACCACCAAAGCGGCUGAAUACUACACCGAGCCGCCCAAGUACUACACCAACAAGGCUCCAGAGUAUUACACCACAACUUGUGCUUGCUUCCCCGAGCCGCUACACCGAAUCCCCGAAGUAUUACUCUGCCCUAAGCUACACAACUACGACUGAGGCGACCAAGUACUACGCAGCCCCAACUUCUACACAGCGGCUGCUCCUUCGUACUACGUUGAAUUGGAAUACUACACCUAGGCUUCAGUUUACUACACCACAACCUACGCUACACCUAGAUACUACACCGAGGCCCCUAUGUAACUACCAAGGCACCUGAGUAUUAUAACACUACUUACGCUGCUCCGACCAACUACACCGAAGCUCCGAAGUAUUACUCAAUCCGAGUUACAACACCACUAAGGCACCUGAAUAUUACACCACACCUUCCGCUUCUCCAACUUACUACAGGGACGUUCCUAAAUAUUAUAACUAUGUUCAGAUUUGUCGGUCAUAUCUUAAUAGUUACUAGUCACUGGGAAUUGUUGAUCUUUAAUAGGGAAAUCAAUUUUUUUAAAACCUGGGUGAUCAUUGUGUACGACUUCUCUUGCCACCUAAAAGCCCUAAGACGUUGCGACGAUUUCUUAUUUUUUUGGAUCUUUCCUAUUUCGCAUGUUGGAGGUGACCUAUUGCUCUAGUCGCUCUGUAUUCCGACAUAUUCUAGUGUUUGGACAAACUUCAUUUACAGGGCAAGUAACGAAAGAGACAUGUGGUGUUUACUAAAAAUUUUUAAUGUUACUAGCUCUGUUUUUAACAUUAGUUGGUGUAACAAAUGAGUUGCAGAUAGUGUAUGGUUUAUCACAUAAGUUUAUUUGAAGGGUCUGGAGUUGAUCAGUCUAUUGCCAAUAACUUAUGUAAAACUUCAAAGUUGUAAAAAAUAUACAAAUUUGAACUAAA